This is a long non-coding RNA of Homo sapiens (human), 1882 nucleotides long. Ensembl annotates it as RAMP2 antisense RNA 1. Its record names the gene RAMP2-AS1. NCBI's taxonomy places the organism in Eukaryota, Metazoa, Chordata, Mammalia, Primates, Hominidae. The record is from Ensembl.
GGGGCCCGCGGCUGGAGGGGGAGUCGCUGCCUCACCCGCGCCUGGCGCCCGCGGCUCCCUCCGCCUCGCCGGCGUUGGCCCACCCUCUCGUAGCUCACCCCGCGAGGCUGGACAGCUCCCGGAACCCCGGAACCGGGAUCUAUUUCGGGGGCUCGGCUGCGUGGCGCCCAGGACUCUCCAGGGUCUCCCAGGAUCGCUCCCCGAAUUCGAGUCGCCCCCUCUCUCUUUCGGGAAUACCAGCUGAUGUCAGUCCGCCAGCCAAAACCAGGGAGGAGAAGCGGGAGCCAGCCCUCUGGAGUCGGGAGAAGGUCUGGGGAGUGGGGUAGAGGGGAAAGCAAAGUCCAAAUACCUUCCCUUCAGACACCUCCUGGGGCCUAGACCCCACAAACCUGUUGUGGGGAGGGCAAAAUACGAUGACUACGUUCCCAGGAAGAAGGUGCCACAGCUCUUCAGGACCACGGUUGGGAGAAAGAAUGGAGGGGUUUUAGAACCUUCAGUGUGCGACUUCAUGUGCCAGUCUUCAUCUCAGGAUCUCAAGCUCUUGGAUCAUGGGCACGGAUAACCUGUUGUCCUCCUCUAUGGUCAAGAGGCUGCUUUUGCAAAGAAUCCAGUGGGAGAGAGUCAAUGGCCUGCUUGACGUGAACUCCAAAGUCCUCCUGAUCAGAAUACCAAUUUCUUACUGGGUCUGGAAAGGAGGAGAGAAGGAUAGAGAGUUUCUUCUAGGACCAAAUUGAUUCCUCCACAAAUAGGAAGAUCCCCAGACUGUGUGCACACACCCUCCUCCUCCUUCCUUCUCCAACCCUGGCUGGACCAUGACAUCACAUGGUGGAGGCUGUUUUUUAAAAAGAACUCAGGCCAGAUUUACAAGAAUGAUGCUCAGGCAGCGUGACUGUCAAGGACCGUGGCCAAGUGACCCAUAGCACACACCCAGCAGUGCUGAGAACAUAGCUAGUCCCUUAGCACCUGGGGCUGACUCAUGGUUGCUGUAGGACCCAAUGCCAGAUGCCAGGAUUGCUUUCUCCCUCCAUUCAUUAGGACUGUCCCAUGAAACCCUCCCCAGGAACCCUUCUACCCCAUCCCGGCAUGCCAGGAGCCUGGAUACUGCAUAACACAGGGUACUCAUAUUUGUUUACCAAGCCUUGAAGAUGACAGGCAAUAUGCUGAUAUGCUCAAUGCAUCAUACAAAUUGUUUUAUUUAAAACUGAACUAUUAAAUUAAGUAUCAUAGCAACUCACUUUACAGACAAGGAAACUGAAGCUCAAAGGUUAAGUAAGGGCCAGGCAUGGUGGCUCACUCCUGUAAUCCCAGCAGUUUGGGAGGCUGAGGUGGGAGGAGGAUUGCUUAAGCCCGCGAGUUUGAGACCAGCCUAGGCAAUAUAGGGAGACCCCAUCUCUACAAAAAAUUAUCUGGGCCUGGUGAUGUGUGCCUGUAGUCCCAGCUACUUGAGAGGCUGAGGUGGGAGGAUUGCUUGAGCCCAGAAGUUGAGGCUGCAGUGAGCCAUGAUCAUGCCAUUGUACUCCAGCCUGGGCAGCAAAGCAAAACCCUGUAUUGAAAACAAACAAACAGGCUGGGCACGGUGGCUCACACCUGUAAUCCCAACACUUUGGGAGGCCGAGGCAGGUGGAUCACCUGAGGUCAGGAGUUAGAGACCAGCCUGGCCAACAUGGUGAAACCCGCCUCUACUGAAAAUACAAAAAUUAGCAGGGCAUUGUGGCACAUGCCAAGGUGGGCAGAUCACCUGAGGUCAGGAGUUCGAGACCAGCCUGGCCAACAUGGUGAAACCCCAUCUCUACUAAAAAUACAAAAAUUAGCUGGGCGUGGUGGUGGGCGCCUGUAGUCCCAGCUACUCAGGAGGCUGAGGCAGGAGAAUCGCUUGAACCUG